AGAACAGCAUUGGUUUUGGCAGAUGUCAAAGAAAGUUGAUCUACGAAACACUAGACUGAUUUUGGCUGCAUCUCUAAGAAGAAGGUGAAGUCAAAAGAGCUUCGUACGACUGAAAAUUGCUGAGAAAAUCGCCGUGAAAAUUAGUCUGCUGAAUGGUAACAGUGCUGUGCAUGAACACCAAGCCGGAGACUGAGGGAAGAUACGAUUUUGUUUGAGGGUCCGGAGUUGCUUUACAAGAGGGAUUGGCGUGAGCUUCUAAUGGCGAAUCAGUUACUAUUUUUGCUGUUCCUUUUUGGAGCAAUCUUUUGUGGGCAAUCCAAGUUCAUAGUGUAUAACACCUCACGGAGCGUAGUUCCCGGUAAGCUAAACGUUCAUCUGGUUCCUCACACCCACGACGACGUUGGUUGGUUGAAGACCGUUGAUCAGUACUAUGUUGGCUCUAAUAAUUCGAUUCAGGGAGCUUGUGUUCAGAAUGUAUUAGAUUCCUUAGUUCCUUCGCUGUUGGCUGACAAGAAUCGGAAAUUUAUCUACGUUGAGAUAGCUUUUUUUCAGCGAUGGUGGAGGGACCAGAGUGAAGCUAUUAAGCAUGUAGUUAAGCAACUUGUCAGCUCGGGUCAAUAGAGUUCAUAAAUGGUGGCAUGUGUAUGCAUGAUGAGGCAGCAACACAUUACAUAGAUAUGAUUGAUCAGACAACAAUGGGACAUCGGUUCCUGAAAGAGGAGUUUGGCGUGACUCCUAGAAUUGGUUGGCAAAUUGAUCCUUUUGGACAUUCUGCUGUGCAGGCUUACUUAUUGGGAUCUGAAGUUGGCUUUGACUCUCUUUUCUUUGGUCGAAUAGAUUAUCAAGAUAGAGCUAAGCGCAAAAAUGAAAAGAGUCUUGAGAUUGUCUGGCAGGGAAGUAAGAGCCUU
Long non-coding RNA from Neltuma alba, 908 nucleotides. RefSeq lists it as uncharacterized. The transcript is spliced from 5 exons. NCBI's taxonomy places the organism in Eukaryota, Viridiplantae, Streptophyta, Magnoliopsida, Fabales, Fabaceae. The record is from RefSeq and is a predicted model, not a curated record.